GGUAAUUUCUGGCCUCUGAAAGGCCUCCAUCAAACGGAUUUCUAUUUUCUCCGCGCUAAGUUGGUCCCUCUCUUCCAUUUCUAGGUACAGCGCCAACACCGAACCAUCUAAGUACAGCAGUAUAAAACUCGCUAAGUCGUUUAUACCGUGGAGCUUCGCCACCAACUUCAUCUUCUUCAACCAAGCGACUACAUCCGUGUCACCGCAAAAUGGUUUGAUCAUAUCGUUCGAAAUACGGACAACUCUCAUCAUUCGUAUCUUUCUUUUUAUUUAUUUAUUUUUUUGUUAUGGACCGAAAUAGCUUGUAGUGUGAUGGA
Molecule: long non-coding RNA, 317 nt
Organism: Octopus sinensis (East Asian common octopus)
Lineage: Eukaryota; Metazoa; Mollusca; Cephalopoda; Octopoda; Octopodidae
Exons: 3
Source: RefSeq, a predicted model, not a curated record